This is a long non-coding RNA of Oncorhynchus tshawytscha (Chinook salmon), 411 nucleotides long. NCBI's taxonomy places the organism in Eukaryota, Metazoa, Chordata, Actinopteri, Salmoniformes, Salmonidae. The record is from Ensembl.
GCUAUAUACAGGGUAUUACAGUACAGAGUCAAUGUGGAGCCUAUAUACAGGGGGUACCGGUACAGAGUCAAUGUGGAGGUUAUAUACAGGGUGUUACAGUACAGAGUCAAUGUGGAGGCUAUAUACAGGGGUACCGGUACAGAGUCAAUGUGGAGGCUAUAUACAGGGUGCUACGGUACAGAGUCAAUGUGGAGGUUAUAUACAGGGUGUUACAGUACAGAGUCAAUGUGGAGACUAUAUACAGGGGGUACUGGUACAGAGUCAAUGUGGAGGCUAUAUACAGGGAGUACCGGUACAGAGUCAAUGUGGAGGCUAUAUACAGGGGGGUACCGGUACAGAGUCAAUGUGGAGGCUAUAUACAGGGGGUACCGGUACAGAGUCAAUGUGGAGACUAUAUACAGGGUAUUACGG